UACGUAGGGGGCAAGCGUUGUCCGGAAUCAUUGGGCGUAAAGCGCGUGUAGGCGGCUCGAUAAGUCCGCUCUGAAAGCCCGGGGCUCAACCCCGGGAGGCGGGCGGAAACUGUCGGGCUAGAGUCCGGAAGAGGCGAGUGGAAUUCCCGGUGUAGCGGUGAAAUGCGCAGAUAUCGGGAGGAACACCAAUGGCGAAGGCGAGUCUCUGGACAUUUCCUGACGCUGAGGCACGAAAGCCAGGGGAGCAAACGGG
This 253-nucleotide ribosomal RNA is filed under the name uncultured bacterium. RNAcentral's name for it is "partial 16S ribosomal RNA". It matches the Rfam family "Bacterial small subunit ribosomal RNA", at positions 524 to 776 of the family's 1533-position model. The record is from RNAcentral.